Molecule: ribosomal RNA, 460 nt
Filed under: uncultured bacterium
Lineage: Bacteria
Description: partial 16S ribosomal RNA
Rfam family: Bacterial small subunit ribosomal RNA
Source: RNAcentral
CCUACGGGAGGCUGCAGUGAGGAAUAUUGGUCAAUGGGCGAGAGCCUGAACCAGCCAAGUCGCGUGAAGGAUGACGGCCCUACGGGUUGUAAACUUCUUUUGUCAGGGAGCAAUUGGGUCCACGCGUGGGCUUAGCGAGAGUACCUGAAGAAAAAGCAUCGGCUAACUCCGUGCCAGCAGCCGCGGUAAUACGGAGGAUGCGAGCGUUAUCCGGAUUUAUUGGGUUUAAAGGGUGCGUAGGCGGAAUAUCAAGUCAGCGGUAAAAAUUCGGGGCUCAACCCCGUCGUGCCGUUGAAACUGAUGUUCUGGAGUGGGCGAGAAGGAUGCGGAAUGCGUGGUGUAGCGGUGAAAUGCAUAGAUAUCACGCAGAACUCCGAUUGCGAAGGCAGCAUACCGGCGCCCAACUGACGCUGAAGCACGAAAGCGUGGGUAUCGAACAGGAUUAGAUACCCCUGUAGUC